Molecule: ribosomal RNA, 343 nt
Filed under: uncultured bacterium
Lineage: Bacteria
Description: bacterial SSU rRNA
Rfam family: Bacterial small subunit ribosomal RNA
Source: RNAcentral
ACUCCUACGGGGAGGCAGCAGUGGGAAUGAUUGCACAAUGGGCGCAAGCCUGAUGCAGCCAUGCCGCGUGAUGUAGCAAGAAUGGGCCUUCGGGUUGAUGAAGCACUUUUCAGUCGUGAGGAAGGUAGUGUAGUUAAUAGCUGCAUUAUUUGACGUUAGCGACAGAAGAAGCACCGGCUAACUCCGUGCCAGCAGCCGCGGUAAUACGGAGGGUGCGAGCGUUAAUCGGAAUUACUGGGCGUAAAGCGCAUGCAGGUGGUUUGUUAAGUCAGAUGUGAAAGCCCGGGGCUCAACCUCGGAAUUGCAUUUGAAACUGGCAGACUAGAGUACUGUAGAGGGGGGU